RNAcentral lists this ribosomal RNA (433 nucleotides) under uncultured bacterium. RNAcentral's name for it is "partial 16S ribosomal RNA". It matches the Rfam family "Bacterial small subunit ribosomal RNA", at positions 29 to 507 of the family's 1533-position model. The record is from RNAcentral.
AACGAACGCUGGCGGCAUGCCUAACACAUGCAAGUCGAACGAGACCUUCGGGUCUAGUGUCGCACGGGUGCGUAACGCGUGGGAACCUGCCCUUAGGUUCGGAAUAACUCCCCGAAAGGGGUGCUAAUACCGGAUAAUGUCUUCGGACCAAAGAUUUAUCGCCUUUGGAUGGGCCCGCGUUGGAUUAGCUAGUUGGUAGGGUAAAAGCCUACCAAGGCGACGAUCCAUAGCUGGUCUGAGAGGAUGAUCAGCCACACCGGGACUGAGACACGGCCCAGACUCCUACGGGAAGCAGCAGUGGGGAAUAUUGGACAAUGGGCGAAAGCCUGAUCCAGCAAUGCCGCGUGAGUGAUGAAGGACUUAGGGUUGUAAAGCUCUUUUACCCGGGAUGAUAAUGACAGUACCGGGAGAAUAAGCUCCGGCUAACUCCGUG